CAUACGGAACGUUGCUCUUUGCAGUUAGCGGCGGACGGGUGAGUAACACGUGGGCAACCUACCCUAUAGUUUGGGAUAACUCCGGGAAACCGGGGCUAAUACCGAAUAAUCUCUUUUGCUUCAUGGCAAGAGACUGAAAGACGGCAUCUCCCGGUCCCUAUAGGAGGGGCCCGCGGCGCAUUACCUAUUUGGUGAGGUAACGGCUCACCAAGGCAACAAUGCGUACCCAACCUGAAAGGGUGAUCGGCCACCCGGGGACGGAAACACGGCCCAAACUCCUACGGGAGGCACCAUUAGGGAAUCUUCCACAAGGGGCAAAAGCCUGAGGGACCACCCCCCCGUGAUUGAAAAAGGUUUUCGGAUCGUAAAACUCUGUUGUAAGGGAAAAACAAUUACAGUAUUAACGGGCUGUACCUUGACGGUACCUUAUUAAAAAGCCACGGCUAACUACUUGCCACCACCCGCGGUAAUACUUAGGUGGCAAGCGUUGUCCGGAAUUAUGGGGCGUAAAGCGCGCGCAGGCGGUCCUUUAAUUCUGAUGUGAAAGCCCACGGCUCACCCGUGGAGGGUCAUUGGAAACUGGGGGACUUGAUUGCAGAAGAGGAAAGUGAAAUUCCAGGUGUAGCGGUGAAAUGCGUAGAGAUUUGGAGGACACCAGUGGGCGAAGGCGACUUUCUGGUCUGUAACUGACGCUGAGGCGCGAAAGCGUGGGGAGCAAACAGGAUUAGAUACCCUGGUAGUCCACGCCGUAAACGAUGAGUGCUAAGUGUUAGGGGGUUUCCGCCCCUUAGUGCUGCAGCUAACGCAUUAAGCACUCCGCCUGGGGAGUACGGUCGCAAGACUGAAACUCAAAGGAAUUGACGGGGGCCCGCACAAGCGGUGGAGCAUGUGGUUUAAUUCGAAGCAACGCGAAGAACCUUACCAGGUCUUGACAUCCCGUUGACCACUGUAGAGAUAUAGUUUCCCCUUCGGGGGCAACGGUGACAGGUGGUGCAUGGUUGUCGUCAGCUCGUGUCGUGAGAUGUUGGGUUAAGUCCCGCAACGAGCGCAACCCUUGAUCUUAGUUGCCAUCAUUUAGUUGGGCACUCUAAGGUGACUGCCGGUGACAAACCGGAGGAAGGUGGGGAUGACGUCAAAUCAUCAUGCCCCUUAUGACCUGGGCUACACACGUGCUACAAUGGACGAUACAAACGGUUGCCAACUCGCGAGAGGGAGCUAAUCCGAUAAAGUCGUUCUCAGUUCGGAUUGUAGGCUGCAACUCGCCUACAUGAAGCCGGAAUCGCUAGUAAUCGCGAUCAGCAUGCACGCUGUGU
Molecule: ribosomal RNA, 1313 nt
Filed under: Lysinibacillus sp. JVPS1
Lineage: Bacteria; Bacillati; Bacillota; Bacilli; Caryophanales; Bacillaceae
Description: bacterial SSU rRNA
Rfam family: Bacterial small subunit ribosomal RNA
Source: RNAcentral